This 253-nucleotide ribosomal RNA is filed under the name uncultured bacterium. RNAcentral's name for it is "partial 16S ribosomal RNA". It matches the Rfam family "Bacterial small subunit ribosomal RNA", at positions 524 to 776 of the family's 1533-position model. The record is from RNAcentral.
UACAGAGGGGGCAAGCGUUAUUCGGAAUUACUGGGCGUAAAGCGCGCGUAGGCGGCUUUGCAAGUCGGGUGUGAAAUCCCCAGGCUUAACCUGGGAACUGCAUUCGAGACUGCAUUGCUAGAGUAUGGGAGAGGGAAGUGGAAUUUCCGGUGUAGCGGUGAAAUGCGUAGAUAUCGGAAGGAACAUCAGUGGCGAAAGCGACUUCCUGGACCAAUACUGACGCUCAUGUGCGAAAGCGUGGGGAGCAAACAGG